This 429-nucleotide ribosomal RNA is filed under the name Chloroflexota bacterium. Its description in RNAcentral is "Chloroflexi bacterium partial 16S ribosomal RNA". It matches the Rfam family "Bacterial small subunit ribosomal RNA", at positions 355 to 776 of the family's 1533-position model. The record is from RNAcentral. Lineage: Bacteria; Bacillati; Chloroflexota.
UGGGGAAUAUUGCACAAUGGGCGCAAGCCUGAUGCAGCCAUGCCGCGUGUAUGAAGAAGGCCUUCGGGUUGUAAAGUACUUUCAGUCGGGAGGAAGGUGUCAAGGUUAAUAACCUUGGCAAUUGACGUUACCGACAGAAGAAGCACCGGCUAACUCCGUGCCAGCAGCCGCGGUGAUACGGAGGGUGCAAGCGUUAAUCGGAAUUACUGAGCGUAAAGCGCACGCAGGCGGUUGAUUGAGUCAGAUGUGAAAUCCCCGGGCUUAACCCGGGAAUUGCAUCUGAUACUGGUCAGCUAGAGUCUUGUAGAGGGGGGUAGAAUUCCAUGUGUAGCGGUGAAAUGCGUAGAGAUGUGGAGGAAUACCGGUGGCGAAGGCGGCCCCCUGGACAAAGACUGACGCUCAGGUGCGAAAGCGUGGGGAGCGAACAGG